Molecule: ribosomal RNA, 382 nt
Filed under: uncultured Anaerolineaceae bacterium
Lineage: Bacteria; Bacillati; Chloroflexota; Anaerolineae; Anaerolineales; Anaerolineaceae
Description: bacterial SSU rRNA
Rfam family: Bacterial small subunit ribosomal RNA
Source: RNAcentral
ACAUACAAGUAGUAGGAAGGAAACUGGACCGACCUUCGGGAGCUUGUACAGGUGCUGCAUGGCUGUCGUCAGCUCGUGUCGUGAGAUGUUCGGUUAAGUACCGCUAACGAGCGCAACCCUCGCUGUGUGUUACAAGUGUCACACGGAACUGCCGGUCAUAAACCGGAGGAAGUGGGAUGACGUCAAGUCAGCAUGGCCUUUAUAUCCUGGGCUACACACACGCUACAAUGGGAAGGGACAAUAGGUUGCGAAGCCGCGAGGCGGAGCCAAUCCAGCAAAACUUCCCUCAGUUCAGAUUGCAGGCUGCAACCCGCCUGCAUGAAGUUGGAGUUGCUAGUAAACGCAGGUCAGCCAUACUGCGUUGAAUACGUUCCCGGGGCUU